This is a long non-coding RNA of Astatotilapia calliptera (eastern happy), 2415 nucleotides long. The record is from Ensembl. Lineage: Eukaryota; Metazoa; Chordata; Actinopteri; Cichliformes; Cichlidae.
GGGAGAGGGCUCCUUUUUUUCAUUACGGUUAAAAACAAAAUACUGAUUAUUGUAGAUAUGGUUUUGACUUGAAAAAUACUGUGAUUUCAGAGAGUGUCAGAACAUGUUCUAGAGCUAGGGCAUUACAAGAUAAAAGAGUCAAAGGUAUGCAUUACUCAUUUUGAUUGUUUGGAGAUAAAAAAAAAAAAGCAUAUUCUGUACAUUUUAUCAUUCAGUAUUCUCAUGAAAGUAUAUUUGUGCUGUUUCUUUCCUCCUAACGACGCUCUUUAGAUGCAGCGUUCAUUGACGUCAUAUCCUGCUUUGUGUUUGCUAAGAGGAAACGGAGGAUUGCUUUUGUGAUUCGUUUGAAAUUAUUCUGCAGUGAAGAUGUGCGAACAUGUAUAUUCAAAAGAGUCAACAUAUCCGCCUACAGUUUGACCAGUUGUCAUUGAGUAUAUAGUAUUCUUUUUUUGUUUUGUUUUGUUCGUUGAGCAUUCUUCUCAGUGUCGGAGGCUCUGAGGUCGAGAUUAUUUGAUCGGGACAGUAUCGGGCAGCACGUUCAGAAGGUGUUGGGGAAAAAAGUAUUCAACGUUUCAAUCUUAAACUCAGUCAGUGCCAUCCCACACAUACGCCAAACCCCGAGGAUCAGAAACGACAGCCUAUAAGAAGGAAGGAUUCUUGGGGGGGAAAGUGUCCCAGAAAUAGCCAUAAAUUGAAUGAUGUAACAACCAAAAGGCCUACAAUCCAUAUGGAUUAUUGCUGUUUUGCUCAAACACAAACACACACCUACACACACAUGCAGACACACACACAUUGCAUUUUCAGUGCUCAGGUUCAUUUGCAAAGAAAAAAAAAACCUCUAAGAUUUUGUAUUUCAUUAAUUAAUUCAUUGUAUUUUUAGUUUUUUUAAUAGGCCUGGUUAAUAGUGUAUAUAGGUUGAAAAAUUGUAGCCACUAAAAAGCGUUUUAUGAUAUUAAAGCAGAUGGACAGCUGACACUCUGUAAAAGUUUUGAAAGACAGAAAAGAGAGCAAAAAGCAGCAACAUACACAACCAAACCUAGUUAGGGGCAUUGGCCCCGGAGAAAAAAAAUAAAAGUUACAAAGAGAGCAACUACACACAAACAUAUUAAUGAAGUUAAGGUGUCUAAGGUGUGUUAAAAUAAAAGGAGUGCUAAUCAGAAACCAAUUUGUCUCCUUACAUCUUAGUGAAGUUUGUAUUGUGAUGUGGCCCAAGCCUUGAGCUGAGUUUAGUAUUCCUUAUUGUGUACAUUUUAUGCAUUGUUGUCUUAUUCUCUAGAAGCAAAAAAGAAGAACACUCACUCCAUGUGAUUGCACAGUGAGUUGGUGUUCCCUGUAUUUUCCUCUCUAAAAAGUUGCCUCUGGUUAAGGUCUGUUGUCGGUUACUGUACGAGGAUUCCCGCAAAGAAGCUGUGCUGAUUCCCACUUACGCAUCAGUUUACUGUACCUCCUUCUUUAAAGGAGGAAGACUAGAUCAUGUUUAACCAGUAGGUAAGAAAAUUAUCCAACACUUUUUAAAUUUUGGCAAUGGAAGAAAACAAAAAGAAGAACCCCACAAGAUAAACAGCCCAUUAUUUUGCUUUUUCCUUUUGUUUCGGUAUAAAUUAGUAAAUGAUUUUUCUUCAUUUCUGUGUUCAUUUCAAAUUUAUUGUAUUCGUUACAUUUGUUAUGGAUUGUUAUUCUUACUGUUGUUGUUGUUUUAUCAUAAGAAGGAAAUGUAAUUCAUCUGAUAUACUGGCACUGGAAGAAAAAUGCAUUUGUUUUUUUGUACUGUAAUUGUUUUGUUCACAUUGGGCGCUUAUUUGAUUCAGUUGUUUAAUAAGGUGUUUGAUUUCAUUUGGAGUACCAGUACUCAUGAAAUCAACAUUUGUGUAGUAUGAAGUUGUAUUUUUUUUGUCAGUGCAAAAUUAAUGUUAUAGUGUCGAUCAGCUUUUUUAGGUGUUUGAACAAAAUGUGUUUUUUACAAAUACAAGGUGUUCAAGUAUGUGGUAUAAAAAGGGUUAUCAUUCAAACAACCAACUUUUUACAAAUAAAGGCUUAUACAGUAAAGAAAGCUAAUGUCUUUUCAUUUGCCCUUUGUGGACUAAUAUAUGACACCGUUUCGUUUGACUUUUGAUUAAUUUCUUUUUCAGAUAUUAGUCCCCAAAAGGUAAAUAGCAUAAAUACAAUGUUGCAAACCAAGAGGACAAAAUCAGGUAUUUGCCAUUGCUACUCCAGGUUGUUGGCAGAGCUCUCACCGCUUAGCUGGUGUCUUGCUUUUGAUAAGGACUGCUGGAUAUGAAGACAGUCUGAAAACAAAAAAAUUAAGAAAAAUCAAGAGUGUCUUCUUUUAAUUUGAUUACAAAACAUUGCGCGUUUAUGAGAAUAUACCUCCUUUCAUACCCUAUUUCCUGAAUAAAGACGCAAAGUGACUCCUGC